This 403-nucleotide ribosomal RNA is filed under the name uncultured Oscillospiraceae bacterium. RNAcentral's name for it is "bacterial SSU rRNA". It matches the Rfam family "Bacterial small subunit ribosomal RNA", at positions 356 to 774 of the family's 1533-position model. Lineage: Bacteria; Bacillati; Bacillota; Clostridia; Eubacteriales; Oscillospiraceae. The record is from RNAcentral.
GGGGAAUAUUGGGCAAUGGACGCAAGUCUGACCCAGCAACGCCGCGUGAAGGAAGAAGGCUUUCGGGUUGUAAACUUCUUUUAAGGGGGAAGAGUAGAAGACGGUACCCCUUGAAUAAGCCACGGCUAACUACGUGCCAGCAGCCGCGGUAAUACGUAGGUGGCAAGCGUUGUCCGGAAUUACUGGGUGUAAAGGAUGCGUAGGCGGAUAUGUAAGUCAGAUGUGAAACCCCCGGGCUUAACCCGGGGCAUGCAUUUGAGACUGCAUAUCUAGAGUGCAGGAGAGGAAAGCGGAAUUCCUAGUGUAGCGGUGAAAUGCGUAGAUAUUAGGAAGAACACCAGUGGCGAAGGCGGCUUUCUGGACUGUAACUGACGCUGAUGCAUGAAAGCGUGGGGAGCAAACA